GUUCAGAAAAUGCUUCAAAUCCUGCAAGAUGAAACACAAAAGCUGCAAGAUGAUCUAUGUCCAAAUUACCCACAUCACCAAGUCAGAAGCAGCAAGAACGAACAUGGAUUUCCAUCCAUCCUUAUGAGCUUCCAGCGCAUCCUCAUGUGAUUCUAGUCUGCUUGGUGACUGUCGCUUCCCAACUGCCCGCCCUCUGAACGUCAGGCCAGCACCAGGCACAGAGACGGCCAGGCAGGAACUGCUUAUCCAGCCCCACAAGCUAACUCCCUGUAAGCAAGCCUUUGAUUUGUAAUAUAAAAACAAAAAAUACAUCUAUAUUGCUACUGUUUCUACUUCUCCAGCUUAUUCCUUACUGAUACUGAAUUAAAAGACUAGGAAUGAUGGCAAA
Non-coding RNA from Vicugna pacos (alpaca), 388 nucleotides. NCBI's taxonomy places the organism in Eukaryota, Metazoa, Chordata, Mammalia, Artiodactyla, Camelidae. The record is from RefSeq and is a predicted model, not a curated record.